This 72-nucleotide transfer RNA is filed under the name Euciroa cf. queenslandica STW-2017. RNAcentral describes it as "tRNA-Trp". Lineage: Eukaryota; Metazoa; Mollusca; Bivalvia; Euciroidae. The record is from RNAcentral.
AGGUAUAUAGGUUAAAAUAAAUAAACCGCAAAUUUUCAAAAUUUGAGAAAGAGUAAAUGAUUCUUGUACCUG